This is a non-coding RNA of Phasianus colchicus (ring-necked pheasant), 1400 nucleotides long. Lineage: Eukaryota; Metazoa; Chordata; Aves; Galliformes; Phasianidae. The record is from RefSeq and is a predicted model, not a curated record.
GGCUGUGUUCCAGAGUGAGCUUGGUGUCACAGCAGCCUGGAAUGCUGACCAGAUGGCCACUGAGCACUGUAGGAGUGCCCAUGGGGUUGGAUGGCAGCUGAUCCUCCUCUGCAUUGCAGCCACACAUGGGGACAGGGACACAGAAGGACAGGGACACAGCAGGACAGCGAGAUGCUACAGUCCUCACCCGCAUUCAUACCCGGACAAGAGGGCCACGCUCCUCAGGACAGAUAAGUCUUUCCUGUACUAUAACCCACCUAGGCCCUACAGGACUGUGGAAGCUCCCCAAAGACCCCUUGCUCAGAUGCAAAAUUUUGCACUGCUUUGCUGAGACCUGCCCUGAUUACAGCUGCUUGCACCAGACCUAUUGAUUGCGGUGGGUUUUUCCACACAUGUCCAUGGAAGUGGCUGGCAGACCAGCAACCUGGUGAGCAGGGCAAUGAUGGGGAGGGCAGCACAGAGAACCAGGGCACGUGGCUGCUCCUUUCUUCCUUCCCAUCUGCCUUGCAGAUGGGGCACCCAAAUGAAGAUGGAGCCAGAGCAGGAUACACGUCUAUCCUCAUCUCACUAAUUGGUCUCCACGCUGCCGUAAGAAAAGAUAAGUCAGCCACAAACAGUACCCCUUCUAGUUUCCGAGGGUCCCUGGAAGCUCCCCAAAGUCCCCCUGCCCGCACCACAACAUUUGAUACUGCUUUGCAGAGACCUGGCCCCACGGCAGGUGCUGGCACCAGGCAUAUUGAAUGCAGGGGCCCUUUCAGCACACUGCCAUGAAAAUGGCUGGCAGACCAGCAACCCGGUGAGCAGGGCAAUGAUGGGGAGGGCAGCACAGGGAACCAGGGCACGUGGCUGCUUCUUCUUUUCUUCCUUCCCGUCUGCUUUGCAGAUGGGCACCCAGAUGAAGCCAUGAAAAUGUCUGGCAGAUGAGGAACCCUGGGCCUGCAGGGGAGGGCAGCACAGACAGCUAUUUUCCAGCCUGUGUCUUCAUCUGGACAAGGCACCAACUGAAGCUUGAGGAAAGCCCACGCCCCGCUCUGCACUGUGGUCCUACAGGAUCUGGGGAUCUGCACUGCAUGGACAGAGGCAGCUCCACAGCACCUCUCAGCUACGGUCCCCACCACGGACCUGCGCACAUCAUCUCAAGGAACCAUAUGGACCUGUCUACAAUUGACCUUUGAAGAUAAGGAACAAACAAGAAGCUAAAAAAGGAUGAAUGGGCCCAACUGAGAAAUACCAGAGACACCACAUCCAGAAGAGAAGGCAAGCACCGUAACUGAGCAUGCUCCUGAGACUGGGGAUGAAAGUUUAGGAGCAUUGAAGACUGUCAGCCUUCCUUCCUUGACCCCCAGAUGACCACUGAGAAGCUAUCACAGAAUUAACAAUAAAUUUAAAAACCUUCAAAA